UUCAAGUAAAGAUUUUUAUGUAAUCCUGUGAAGAUGAUACUGCCAUUGUCGGAAUUAGAAUGCCAUAAGCCUACUUUGUCGUAUUAAUUUACAAAUUGCGAAAAACCAAAUUAAAUUUGAAUUUCGUAGGCAGACCCGUCUCUUGCAACUUAACAAUACUAUAUCCCACA
Maniola jurtina (meadow brown) is the source of this 170-nucleotide long non-coding RNA. RefSeq lists it as uncharacterized. NCBI's taxonomy places the organism in Eukaryota, Metazoa, Arthropoda, Insecta, Lepidoptera, Nymphalidae. The record is from RefSeq and is a predicted model, not a curated record. The transcript is spliced from 3 exons.